UACAGAGGGGGCAAGCGUUGUUCGGAAUUACUGGGCGUAAAGCGCACGUAGGCGGCUUUGUAAGUUAGAGGUGAAAGCCUGGAGCUUAACUCCAGAACUGCCUUUAAGACUGCAUCGCUUGAAUCCGGGAGAGGUGAGUGGAAUUCCGAGUGUAGAGGUGAAAUUCGUAGAUAUUCGGAAGAACACCAGUGGCGAAGGCGGCUCACUGGACCGGUAUUGACGCUGAGGUGCGAAAGCGUGGGGAGCAAAC
This 250-nucleotide ribosomal RNA is filed under the name uncultured bacterium. RNAcentral's name for it is "partial 16S ribosomal RNA". It matches the Rfam family "Bacterial small subunit ribosomal RNA", at positions 524 to 773 of the family's 1533-position model. The record is from RNAcentral.